RNAcentral lists this ribosomal RNA (393 nucleotides) under uncultured bacterium. Its description in RNAcentral is "partial 16S ribosomal RNA". It matches the Rfam family "Bacterial small subunit ribosomal RNA", at positions 523 to 918 of the family's 1533-position model. The record is from RNAcentral.
AUACGGAAGGUCCGGGCGUUAUCCGGAUUUAUUGGGUUUAAAGGGAGCGCAGGCGGAGAUGCAAGCGUGACGUCAAAUUUCGGGGCUCAACCCCGUCUCGCGUCGCGAACUGCGUCCCUUGGUUGCGGGAAGGGGAGGCGGAACUCGUGGUGUAGCGGUGAAAUGCAUAGAUAUCACGAAGAACUCCGAUCGCGAAGGCAGCCUUCCGGCCCGUCAACGACGCUCAUGCUCGAAGGUGCGGGUAUCAAACAGGAUUAGAUACCCUGGUAGUCCGCACAGUAAACGAUGGACACCCACGGUUUGGCCUGUAUGGCUGAGCCGCCAAGCGAAAGCGUUAAGUGUCCCACCUGGGGAGUACGCCGGCAACGGUGAAACUCAAAGGAAUUGACGGGG